Molecule: ribosomal RNA, 326 nt
Filed under: uncultured eukaryote
Lineage: Eukaryota
Description: partial 18S ribosomal RNA
Rfam family: Eukaryotic small subunit ribosomal RNA
Source: RNAcentral
CCCUUAGAUGUUCUGGGCCGCACGCGCGCUACACUGAUGCAUUCAACGAGCCUAGCCUUGACCGAGAGGUCCGGGUAAUCUUUGAAACUGCAUCGUGAUGGGGCUAGAUUAUUGCAAUUAUUAAUCUUCAACGAGGAAUGCCUAGUAAGCGUGAUUCAUCAAAUCGCGUUGAUUACGUCCCUGCCCUUUGUACACACCGCCCGUCGCUCCUACCGAUUGAGUGUGUUGGUGAGGAGUUCGGAUUGGCUCUUAGCGGUGGUUCGCCACCACCUAGAGCUGAGAAGUUCUCCAAACCGCCCCACUUAGAGGAAGGAGAAGUCGUAACA